Molecule: long non-coding RNA, 549 nt
Filed under: Sus scrofa (pig)
Lineage: Eukaryota; Metazoa; Chordata; Mammalia; Artiodactyla; Suidae
Description: lncRNA (ENSSSCG00060035033.1)
Source: RNAcentral
GUGGAGCGCAGGGAGGGCGCGCAGCAAGGGCGGCCGCCGUUACGGCGCGGGCGUGGUCACGUGGCCGUCGGUCACCGCUGCCACCGCCCCCUCCCGCCCUGUUCUCUUUCUGGUCGGGUCGGGCCCGGCCGGCACCACGAGCGCCCUGCAGAGACUGAGGGAGAGAGAAAGAGGAGGGGAGGAGGAGGAGGAGGAUUCAGGGAGUAGGAGCUGGGGAGCCCUCCCGCGCCACAGAAAAUUAAAUUUCCAGAGACUUGGUGAAGAUAGGAAAACUAUCAGAAAGACUAUAGCACUAUUGUACUACUUGUGGAGGAGACCUCUGUUGUACAGAGCCUGAAGUCAUCUAUGAUCCAUAACAAGAGCAUAAGUUUUCAAGUGUCAGUUAGAUUUGUGGAUCAGUAAAGUUUUCCUGAUAGGUAGUCACUUUUGGUGACAGUGUCCAGUUCUCAAAAUGUAUCAUUCCUUAUCUGAAACUAGACAUCCUCUGCAGCCAGAAGAACAAGAAGUGGGCAUUGAUCCUUUGUCUAGCUACUUAAACAAGCCUGGAGG